UACGUAGGGUGCAAGCGUUAAUCGGAAUUACUGGGCGUAAAGGGCGCGUAGGCGGCCUGUUAAGUCGGACGUGAAAUCCCUCGGCUCAACCGGGGAACUGCGUCCGAUACUGGCGGGCUUGAAUUCGGGAGAGGGAUGUGGAAUUCCAGGUGUAGCGGUGAAAUGCGUAGAUAUCUGGAGGAACACCGGUGGCGAAGGCGGCAUCCUGGACCGACAUUGACGCUGAGGCGCGAAAGCCAGGGGAGCAAACGGG
RNAcentral lists this ribosomal RNA (253 nucleotides) under uncultured bacterium. Its description in RNAcentral is "partial 16S ribosomal RNA". It matches the Rfam family "Bacterial small subunit ribosomal RNA", at positions 524 to 776 of the family's 1533-position model. The record is from RNAcentral.